Molecule: ribosomal RNA, 506 nt
Filed under: uncultured bacterium
Lineage: Bacteria
Description: partial 16S ribosomal RNA
Rfam family: Bacterial small subunit ribosomal RNA
Source: RNAcentral
AGUGAACGCUGGCGGUAGGCCUAACACACGCAAGUCGAACGGCAGCACAGGAGAGCUUGCUCUCUGGGUGGCGAGUGGCGGACGGGUGAGGAAUACAUCGGAAUCUACUCUGUCGUGGGGGAUAACGUAGGGAAACUUACGCUAAUACCGCAUACGACCUACGGGUGAAAGCAGGGGACCUUCGGGCCUUGCGCGAUUGAAUGAGCCGAUGUCGGAUUAGCUAGUUGGCGGGGUAAAGGCCCACCAAGGCGACGAUCCGUAGCUGGUCUGGAAGGAUGAUCAGCCACACUGGAACUGAGACACGGUCCAGACUCCUACGGGAGGCAGCAGUGGGGAAUAUUGGACAAUGGGCGCAAGCCUGAUCCAGCCAUACCGCGUGGGUGAAGAAGGCCUUCGGGUUGUAAAGCCCUUUUGUUGGGAAAGAAAUCCAGCUGGCUAAUACCCGGUUGGGAUGACGGUACCCAAAGAAUAAGCACCGGCUAACUUCGUGCCAGCCGCCGCAGUAA